RNAcentral lists this transfer RNA (82 nucleotides) under Daphnia pulicaria. RNAcentral describes it as "tRNA-Ser". It matches the Rfam family "tRNA". Rfam says of the family: Transfer RNA (tRNA) molecules are approximately 80 nucleotides in length. The record is from RNAcentral. Lineage: Eukaryota; Metazoa; Arthropoda; Branchiopoda; Diplostraca; Daphniidae.
GCAGAUAUGGCCGAGUGGUUAAGGGGACUGACUCGAAAUCAGUUUCCAUCUUGGAGCGUAGGUUCGAAUCCUACUAUCUGCG